RNAcentral lists this ribosomal RNA (719 nucleotides) under Pseudarthrobacter sulfonivorans. RNAcentral's name for it is "bacterial SSU rRNA". It matches the Rfam family "Bacterial small subunit ribosomal RNA", at positions 82 to 814 of the family's 1533-position model. The record is from RNAcentral. Lineage: Bacteria; Bacillati; Actinomycetota; Actinomycetes; Micrococcales; Micrococcaceae.
UGCUGGGGGAUUAGUGGCGAACGGGUGAGUAACACGUGAGUAACCUGCCCUUGACUCUGGGAUAAGCCUGGGAAACUGGGUCUAAUACCGGAUACGACCAUCUGGCGCAUGUCAUGGUGGUGGAAAGCUUUUGUGGUUUUGGAUGGACUCGCGGCCUAUCAGCUUGUUGGUGGGGUAAUGGCCUACCAAGGCGACGACGGGUAGCCGGCCUGAGAGGGUGACCGGCCACACUGGGACUGAGACACGGCCCAGACUCCUACGGGAGGCAGCAGUGGGGAAUAUUGCACAAUGGGCGCAAGCCUGAUGCAGCGACGCCGCGUGAGGGAUGACGGCCUUCGGGUUGUAAACCUCUUUCAGUAGGGAAGAAGCGAAAGUGACGGUACCUGCAGAAGAAGCGCCGGCUAACUACGUGCCAGCAGCCGCGGUAAUACGUAGGGCGCAAGCGUUAUCCGGAAUUAUUGGGCGUAAAGAGCUCGUAGGCGGUUUGUCGCGUCUGCUGUGAAAGACCGGGGCUCAACUCCGGUUCUGCAGUGGGUACGGGCAGACUAGAGUGCAGUAGGGGAGACUGGAAUUCCUGGUGUAGCGGUGAAAUGCGCAGAUAUCAGGAGGAACACCGAUGGCGAAGGCAGGUCUCUGGGCUGUAACUGACGCUGAGGAGCGAAAGCAUGGGGAGCGAACAGGAUUAGAUACCCUGGUAGUCCAUGCCGUAAACGUUGGGC